AAAGAAGAGAGCGCGCGAGAGAGAGAGAUGUCACUGAAGUAUCUCCUGUUUGUUCUGUUGUUUUUCUGUCUGCUGUCAGAUUGCGAUGGCAGAAAAACAAAAGGAAACAAAACCAAGAAAAAGGGAACGUCUCUGAUCAGAACUGCUAAAAAGAUCAAAGAGCAACUGGAUCCUGCUGGAAUAAUAAACCCCUCCAGAAAGUCCUCCAGAACCAUGGACCUGGCAAAACUAACGGAGGAGAGUAUUGUUAAUGAACAUGUGAGAU
Ictalurus furcatus (blue catfish) is the source of this 265-nucleotide long non-coding RNA. RefSeq lists it as uncharacterized. The transcript is spliced from 4 exons. The record is from RefSeq and is a predicted model, not a curated record. Lineage: Eukaryota; Metazoa; Chordata; Actinopteri; Siluriformes; Ictaluridae.